GACGAACGCUGGCGGCGUGCUUAACACAUGCAAGUCGAGCGGUAAGGCCCUUUCGGGGGUACACGAGCGGCGAACGGGUGAGUAACACGUGGGUGACCUGCCUUUAGCUCUGGGAUAAGCCUGGGAAACCGGGUCUAAUACCGGAUAUGACUCCGCGGCGCAUGUUGUGGGGUGGAAAGCCUUGUGCGGCUGGAGAUGGGGCCCGCGGCCUAUCAGCUUGUUGGUGGGGUGAUGGCCUACCAAGGCGACGACGGGUAGCCGGCCUGAGAGGGCGACCGGCCACACUGGGACUGAGACACGGCCCAGACUCCUACGGGAGGCAGCAGUGGGGAAUCUUGCGCAAUGGGCGAAAGCCUGACGCAGCGACGCCGCGUGAGGGAUGACGGCC
RNAcentral lists this ribosomal RNA (388 nucleotides) under uncultured bacterium. RNAcentral's name for it is "bacterial SSU rRNA". It matches the Rfam family "Bacterial small subunit ribosomal RNA", at positions 28 to 416 of the family's 1533-position model. The record is from RNAcentral.